This 433-nucleotide ribosomal RNA is filed under the name uncultured bacterium. RNAcentral describes it as "partial 16S ribosomal RNA". It matches the Rfam family "Bacterial small subunit ribosomal RNA", at positions 29 to 507 of the family's 1533-position model. The record is from RNAcentral.
AACGAACGCUGGCGGCAUGCCUAGCACAUGCAAGUCGAACGAGACCUUCGGGUCUAGUGGCGCACGGGUGCGUAACGCGUGGGAACCUGCCCUUAGGUUCGGAAUAACUCCCCGAAAGGGGUGCUAAUACCGGAGAAUGUCUUCGGACCAAAGAUUUAUCGCCUUUGGAUGGGCCCGCGUUGGAUUAGCUAGUUGGUAGUGUAAAAGCCUACCAAGGCGACGAUCCAUAGCUGGUCUGAGAGGAUGAUCAGCCACACUGGGACUGAGACACGGCCCAGACUCCUACGGAAGGCAGCAGUGGGGAAUAUUGGACAAUGGGCGAAAGCCUGAUCCAGCAAUGCCGCGUGAGUGAUGAAGGCCUUAGGGUUGUAAAGCUCUUUUACCCGGGAUGAUAAUGACAGUACCGGGAGAAUAAGCUCCGGCUAACUCCGUG